RNAcentral lists this ribosomal RNA (253 nucleotides) under uncultured bacterium. RNAcentral's name for it is "partial 16S ribosomal RNA". It matches the Rfam family "Archaeal small subunit ribosomal RNA", at positions 474 to 727 of the family's 1478-position model. The record is from RNAcentral.
UACCAGCACCCCGAGUGGUCGGGACGAUUAUUGGGCCUAAAGCAUCCGUAGCCGGUUUUACAAGUCCUCCGUUAAAUCCAGCUGCUUAACAGAUGGGCUGCGGAGGAUACUAUAAGACUAGGAGGCAGGAGAGGCAAGCGGUACUCAGUGGGUAGGGGUAAAAUCCGUUGAUCCAUUGAAGACCACCAGUGGCGAAGGCGGCUUGCCAGAAUGCGCUCGACGGUGAGGGAUGAAAGCUGGGGGAGCGAACCGG